AGGACGAACGCUGGCGGCGUGCUUAACACAUGCAAGUCGAACGGAAAGGCCCUUUCGGGGGUACUCGAGUGGCGAACGGGUGAGUAACACGUGGGUGAUCUGCCCUGCACUUCGGGAUAAGCUUGGGAAACUGGGUCUAAUACCGGAUAGGACUACGGACUGCAUGGUCUGUGGUGGAAAGCUUUUGCGGUGUGGGAUGGGCCCGCGGCCUAUCAGCUUGUUGGUGGGGUGAUGGCCUACCAAGGCGACGACGGGUAGCCGGCCUGAGAGGGUGUCCGGCCACACUGGGACUGAGAUACGGCCCAGACUCCUACGGGAGGCAGCAGUGGGGAAUAUUGCGCAAUGGGCGAAAGCCUGACGCAGCGACGCCGCGUGAGGGGUGAAGGCCUUCGGGUUGUAAACCUCUUUCAGCAGGGACGAAGCGAAAGUGACGGUACCUGCAGAAGAAGCACCGGCUAACUACGUGCCAGCAGCCGC
RNAcentral lists this ribosomal RNA (477 nucleotides) under uncultured bacterium. RNAcentral describes it as "SSU rRNA". It matches the Rfam family "Bacterial small subunit ribosomal RNA", at positions 26 to 518 of the family's 1533-position model. The record is from RNAcentral.